CGGAUGCGCGGUCUCAUGCAGUCAAUGUCCACAUGUGACGGUCUCACCCCCAGGCUCCCGCACGCUGAAGCUCAGUCGCACCAGGCACUGUUCUGGGCUCAGAGACACCAGAGGAAAGAGACAACCCUGUCUUCACGGAGCUUCCACUUUAGCAGGAGAGACAAGCAAUAAACAAAUGAGGAAAUCGAGGCACAGGGAGAUGAAUCCCUUACUGAAAUCACAGCUGGUAAGCAGAGAGACCAGAGUUCUCACUAGGCUGUCUGGCUCUAGAAGCUGCAAUCUUUGAUCACGUCUCUUUUACUGAGCUUCAGGACCCUCUACUGUGCGAGAUCAUCGCUGUCAUCUCCCCUCCAGUAAAGCAGAUAAACAAGGGCCUCCUAGAAUGGGUGACCCCCUUCUGCACUGGGCCGAAAUAAAAACAGCUUCCAAACCUGG
Sus scrofa (pig) is the source of this 435-nucleotide long non-coding RNA. RefSeq lists it as uncharacterized. The record is from RefSeq and is a predicted model, not a curated record. Lineage: Eukaryota; Metazoa; Chordata; Mammalia; Artiodactyla; Suidae.